Molecule: ribosomal RNA, 103 nt
Filed under: Limosilactobacillus reuteri
Lineage: Bacteria; Bacillati; Bacillota; Bacilli; Lactobacillales; Lactobacillaceae
Description: Lactobacillus reuteri partial 16S ribosomal RNA
Source: RNAcentral
AUUUUAUAUGAGAGUUUGAUCCUGGCUCAGGAUGAACGCCGGCGGUGUGCCUAAUACAUGCAAGUCGUACGCACUGGCCCAACUGAUUGAUGGUGCUUGCACC